CACGUAGUGGCCAAGCGUUGUCCGGAUUUAUUGGGCGUAAAGAGCUCGUAGGCGGUUCGGUAAGUCGGGUGUGAAACCUCCAGGCUCAACCUGGAGACGCCACCCGAUACUGCUGUGACUGGAGUCCGGUAGGGGAGCGUGGAAUUCCUGGUGUAGCGGUGAAAUGCGCAGAUAUCAGGAGGAACACCAGCGGCGAAGGCGGCGCUCUGGGCCGGUACUGACGCUGAGGAGCGAAAGCGUGGGUAGCAAACAGG
RNAcentral lists this ribosomal RNA (254 nucleotides) under uncultured bacterium. Its description in RNAcentral is "partial 16S ribosomal RNA". It matches the Rfam family "Bacterial small subunit ribosomal RNA", at positions 524 to 776 of the family's 1533-position model. The record is from RNAcentral.